This is a long non-coding RNA of Numida meleagris (helmeted guineafowl), 381 nucleotides long. RefSeq lists it as uncharacterized. The transcript has 3 exons. NCBI's taxonomy places the organism in Eukaryota, Metazoa, Chordata, Aves, Galliformes, Numididae. The record is from RefSeq and is a predicted model, not a curated record.
UGUUUGAGUGCUUCUUCCUCACACUAAAGUAUCACCAUCUGAAAUAAGAGAGAACCUCCAGAACUGUCAGAUAACUGUUUUGAAGCUUGCUUUUGCUGCACAAUCCACAAGGCAGCAGGAAGAGAGGGACAAUGGAAUUGCAGCUAAGUGAAGCAUGUUCUUCCUGCAGUCUCUCUGAUGCUUUCCUGGAACUGGUUCUCUUGCUGUUUAUGGAACAAAAGCAACAAGCUGAAUCUUCUGUUUGUCUGCUGGUGGCCUUAAAAUGGAAGAUAUUGGAAGAUUUAAGCUCAAGAAGUUCGUCACAGAGAGUGGUGAGGUGCUGGCACACGCUGCCCAGAGAGGCUGUGGAUGCACCUGGAGGCGUUCAAGACCAGGCUGGAU